RNAcentral lists this ribosomal RNA (287 nucleotides) under Acinetobacter sp. October_NA5D8. RNAcentral describes it as "partial 16S ribosomal RNA". It matches the Rfam family "Bacterial small subunit ribosomal RNA", at positions 1086 to 1372 of the family's 1533-position model. The record is from RNAcentral. Lineage: Bacteria; Pseudomonadati; Pseudomonadota; Gammaproteobacteria; Moraxellales; Moraxellaceae.
CCCGCAACGAGCGCAACCCUUUUCCUUACUUGCCAUCGGGUCAUGCCGGGAACUUUAAGGAUACUGCCAGUGACAAACUGGAGGAAGGCGGGGACGACAUCAAGUCAUCAUGGCCCUUACGACCAGGGCUACACACGUGCUACAAUGGUCGGUACAAAGGGUUGCUACCUAGCGAUAGGAUGCUAAUCUCAAAAAGCCGAUCGUAGUCCGGAUUGGAGUCUGCAACUCGACUCCUUGAAGUCGGAAUCGCUAGUAAUCGCGGAUCAGAAUGCCGCGGUGAAUACGUU